GCCAGCAUAGCAUAGUGGUUCAAGUGUUAGACUAUGACUCUGGAGAUCAAGGUGCAAUUCCCUCUGGGUGACU
Phrynosoma platyrhinos (Desert horned lizard) is the source of this 73-nucleotide non-coding RNA. The record is from the annotation of a GenBank genome assembly. Lineage: Eukaryota; Metazoa; Chordata; Lepidosauria; Squamata; Phrynosomatidae.